CCUACGGGAGGCAGCAGUGAGGAAUAUUGGUCAAUGGGCGCGAGCCUGAACCAGCCAAGUAGCGUGAAGGAUGACUGCCCUACGGGUUGUAAACUUCUUUUAUAAAGGAAUAAAGUGAGGCACGUGUGCCUUUUUGUAUGUACUUUAUGAAUAAGGAUCGGCUAACUCCGUGCCAGCAGCCGCGGUAAUACGGAGGAUGCAAGCGUUAUCCGGAUUUAUUGGGUUUAAAGGGUGCGUAGGCUGUGAGGUAAGUCAGCGGUGAAAGGCCCCCGCUCAACGGGGUGAAGUGCCAUUGUUACUGCCGUGCUGGAAUGCGGAUGCGGUGGGAGGAAUGUGUGGG
RNAcentral lists this ribosomal RNA (340 nucleotides) under uncultured bacterium. RNAcentral's name for it is "partial 16S ribosomal RNA". It matches the Rfam family "Bacterial small subunit ribosomal RNA", at positions 338 to 674 of the family's 1533-position model. The record is from RNAcentral.